GACGUGUUGGUGCUGAGUCAUCGCUGAGUGAUGCGGUCAGCAGGUGCAGUUCACCUUUGUGGGGCUCUGUGGGGGCCAUGUUGGAUCUUCUGGUCCCGUCCGUCUCUACAGAAAGAAAAGUUUGAGGUGAUACCUGAACGCAUCGCCACGAGGAGACGCAGCUAACA
Molecule: non-coding RNA, 167 nt
Organism: Paralichthys olivaceus (Japanese flounder)
Lineage: Eukaryota; Metazoa; Chordata; Actinopteri; Pleuronectiformes; Paralichthyidae
Source: RefSeq, a predicted model, not a curated record